UACGUAGGUCCCUAGCGUUGUCCGGAUUUAUUGGGCGUAAAGCGAGCGCAGGUGGUUUAUUAAGUCUGGUGUAAAAGGCAGUGGCUCAACCAUUGUAUGCAUUGGAAACUGGUAGACUUGAGUGCAGGAGAGGAGAGUGGAAUUCCAUGUGUAGCGGUGAAAUGCGUAGAUAUAUGGAGGAACACCGGUGGCGAAAGCGGCUCUCUGGCCUGUAACUGACACUGAGGCUCGAAAGCGUGGGGAGCAAACAGG
Molecule: ribosomal RNA, 252 nt
Filed under: uncultured bacterium
Lineage: Bacteria
Description: partial 16S ribosomal RNA
Rfam family: Bacterial small subunit ribosomal RNA
Source: RNAcentral